AAAACCAACGGAUGAGACCCUUAUUCUUAAUCUUUUCACAUUACUGUAAAGAGUUAGCGGAAAGAUAAGUGAAGCUACUGAGGCUCACAAGAGCUAAAAGACUUCCUUUUUCUGUUAUCAAAAGAUUCCUCAAAUGGAUUUUAAUGAUUCUGAUGGUUUUGAGGCUUUCGGGUUGGAGUUGGUUAAAUGAGGGAGGAUUUAGCUACUUCUGUGAUGGAAAAAGGGUGGUGAAAAGUGAGGAUUUUGUGGGUAGGAAAAGAGUGCAUAUUAGGUGUUUGACGCAAUUACCAAGAUGGUAUGAUUUGGAGAAGAUGGUGAGAAAUUGGGUUGAGGAGUGGCAGAAUUUACUGGCUGCUUCUCUCAGUUCCAAUCGACCCAUAUAAUCUUGAAACUCUUUCUUUAAUGUUUGGUUUGCUUCGAGAAAGCUCACUACUUUAAUCAAAGAACCACAAAAUCAGGUCUUGCAAUACCGCAAAGGUUCUAAUUUGUUAAAAGGCAGCGGUACGGACUUGAAGGCACGGUAUUUCCCAACGUUAUUCAAGUGCUCAUUUUCCAACCUGAACAAUGAAAACAGCACAACUACUGUCAGAUACAAAUAUGUUGUAACAGGUAACAUGUAUUAUUUUUCAGGUUAUUAAUCCCACUUUUUUUUAGACGGUAGUUAUCUUUUUAGGUGACCUGAAAAUGUAAUCUAUCAUAUUGUUGGUGCAUAGAAGUAAAACUUGAUAAAUAAUGCA
Molecule: non-coding RNA, 737 nt
Organism: Nicotiana tabacum (common tobacco)
Lineage: Eukaryota; Viridiplantae; Streptophyta; Magnoliopsida; Solanales; Solanaceae
Source: RefSeq, a predicted model, not a curated record